RNAcentral lists this ribosomal RNA (750 nucleotides) under bacterium. Its description in RNAcentral is "bacterial SSU rRNA". It matches the Rfam family "Bacterial small subunit ribosomal RNA", at positions 40 to 787 of the family's 1533-position model. The record is from RNAcentral.
GGGCUUGCGCAGCUACACAUGCAGUCGAGCGGAUGAGAGGAGCUUGCUCCUCGAUUCAGCGGCGGACGGGUGAGUAAUGCCUAGGAAUCUGCCUGGUAGUGGGGGACAACGUUUCGAAAGGAACGCUAAUACCGCAUACGUCCUACGGGAGAAAGCAGGGGACCUUCGGGCCUUGCGCUAUCAGAUGAGCCUAGGUCGGAUUAGCUAGUUGGUGAGGUAAUGGCUCACCAAGGCGACGAUCCGUAACUGGUCUGAGAGGAUGAUCAGUCACACUGGAACUGAGACACGGUCCAGACUCCUACGGGAGGCAGCAGUGGGGAAUAUUGGACAAUGGGCGAAAGCCUGAUCCAGCCAUGCCGCGUGUGUGAAGAAGGUCUUCGGAUUGUAAAGCACUUUAAGUUGGGAGGAAGGGUUGUUUCCUAAUACGAAGCAAUUUUGACGUUACCGACAGAAUAAGCACCGGCUAACUCUGUGCCAGCAGCCGCGGUAAUACAGAGGGUGCAAGCGUUAAUCGGAAUUACUGGGCGUAAAGCGCGCGUAGGUGGUUUGUUAAGUUGAAUGUGAAAUCCCCGGGCUCAACCUGGGAACUGCAUCCAAAACUGGCAAGCUAGAGUAGGGUAGAGGGUGGUGGAAUUUCCUGUGUAGCGGUGAAAUGCGUAGAUAUAGGAAGGAACACCAGUGGCGAAGGCGACCACCUGGACUCAUACUGACACUGAGGUGCGAAAGCGUGGGGAGCAACAGAAAACCCCC